UGUGUGUGUGUGUGUGUGUGUGUGUGUGUGUGUGUGUGUGUGUACAAUGUGUUUAUGAAUGAGGAGGCCUGUGUCAGGUCUAGAGGUUAGAUGUUUUGUUUGCCUUUUUAAUCUCAUUUGUUCAGACAUUUGAAUCUCUUGUGUUUUCUAGAGCUCCUUGUCUUUCCCCGUCCUCUUGGUCAUAGUAUUUGACAGUUGGUUUUUUUCCCUCCCAUCCAAAGUGUGCUCAUUAGAGGGGUUCUCACUGUCAGGCAGCAGCUUAACCCCAUGUUCUUCCAGGUGCUCUGCCUAACAGCGUAAGGGGAAAUUGAACACUCAGUUUACCCAAACCACCCACUUUUUUCAAGCUAACUGGAGAAGUCUCUCCAUUUAUUUUGAAUCCACAGGCCUCUGGUAGGCCGAGAUACCACCUAGUUAUGCUGUAUCUGUUUUCCAAACAGGAGGUAGAGGCCCUUGGAGCCAAGGCGACCAGCACAAUAGGUUGCUGCUAGACCGGGGGAAUGAUGUUUGUGCUGUUCUCCCUUCUGGCCCACUCCUCUCAAGAGCCUUUCUCUUUGUUCUUUUGUUCAUGUCUGUGUAUUUUCCCUGUGGCACUGGCAGUGGGGUACUUUUUCAUCCAGAGAAAAACUUGUCAGUGCUCCCAAGAAUGAAUUUCCAGGGAUUUGUGGGAAGGGAAGGAGCAGGGGCUGUGGCAGCAUGUCCUAGUGUUGCACUUUGAGAGGAUUGUCUACUGCAGUAAUAAACGGAAAGUAUCAGCAAGA
RNAcentral lists this long non-coding RNA (761 nucleotides) under Rattus norvegicus (Norway rat). Its description in RNAcentral is "long non-coding RNA NONRATT029627". Lineage: Eukaryota; Metazoa; Chordata; Mammalia; Rodentia; Muridae. The record is from RNAcentral.